Molecule: long non-coding RNA, 1127 nt
Filed under: Salmo salar (Atlantic salmon)
Lineage: Eukaryota; Metazoa; Chordata; Actinopteri; Salmoniformes; Salmonidae
Description: lncRNA (ENSSSAG00000096969.1)
Source: RNAcentral
CGGGGCACUGAUGCCGGACACUCUGGACGGGGCACUGUUGCCGGACACUCUGGACGGGGCACUGUUGCUGGACACUCUGGACGGGGCACUGUUGCCGGAAGCUCCAGACGAGGCACUGUUGCCGGAAGCUCUGGAUGGGGUACUGUCGUCGGAAGCUCUGGACGGGGACUGAGCACUGAAAGCCAGAUGCGUGGGGCUGGCUUAGGAGGUGCCAGCCUAAGGACACGCACCACAGGGCUAGUGCGAGGAGCAGGAGCAGGACGAGCUGGACUGGGCUGACGCACUGGAGGCCUGGUGCGUGGGGCUGGUAGUGGAGGUACCAGACUGGAGACACGCACCCCAAGGCUAGUGCGAGGAGCAGGAACAGGACGAGCUGGACUGGGCUGACGCACUGGAGGCCUGGUGCGUGGGGCUGGUAGUGGAGGUACCAGACUGGAGACAUGCACCCCAAGGCUAGUGCAAGGAGCGGGAACAGGAUACACUGGGCCGUGGAGACGCACUGGCGGUCUCGAACACAGGACUGGCACCACCCGUACUCGCUGGGUGCCUACUUCUCCCUGGCAAAUGCGGGACGCUGGCACCGAGCACACCGGCCUGUUAAUGCUCAGCCUCGACGCCGUGCGCAUCACCCCAUAGCACGGGGCCUGACCAGUAUCACGCUGCCUCCGGUAAGCACGGGGAUUGGCUUGGGGUUCAACCCCGGCCCAGCCAAACUACCCGUGUGCCCCCCCAAAAAAUAUUAUUGGGGCUGCCUCUCACACUGUCCAAUCGGAGUGUAAAAUGUCUCAUAACGUUGCCGUUCCGCCUUGGCUGCCUCUAUCUCCUCCGGUGGGCGACGGUAUUCACCAGCCUGGUGCCAUGGUCCUGCCCCAUCCAGAAUUUCCUCCCAUGUCCAUGAUUCCUUGUAGUCCACAUAGUUCCUCUACUGCUCCUUCCCCCGCUGCUUGGUCCAUUGGUGAUGGGAAGUUCUGUUACGAGUGUCGUACGGAGUAGACCAAGGCGCAGCGGGUUGAGUGCUCAUUCUAACUUUUAUUGAGACACGUAACAAAACAAAACAAGAAAACGUACGAACGCACAGUAUUGCAGGUUACACAGAGCUAUACAAAAACAACUUCCCACAAACCACA